AGCGGCGAACGGGUGAGUAACGCGUGAGGAACCUGCCUCUCACAACGGGAUAGCCACGGGAAACCGGGAUUAAUACCGUAUGACACCAUUUUCCGGCAUCUUAAAAUGGUUAAAGUUCUAGCGGUGAGAGAUGGCCUCGCGUCUGAUUAGUUAGUUGGUGGGGUAACGGCCUACCAAGACGACGAUCAGUAUCCGGCCUGAGAGGGUGAACGGUCACAUUGGAACUGAGACACGGUCCAAACUCCUACGGGAGGCAGCAGUGGGGAAUCUUGCACAAUGGGGGAAACCCUGAUGCAGCGACGCCGCGUGAGCGAUGAAGGUUUUCGAAUCGUAAAGCUCUGUCCUAUGGGAAGAUAAUGACGGUACUAUAGGAGGAAGCCCCGGCUAACUACGUGCCAGCCGCCGCGGUAA
This 411-nucleotide ribosomal RNA is filed under the name uncultured Eubacteriales bacterium. Its description in RNAcentral is "bacterial SSU rRNA". It matches the Rfam family "Bacterial small subunit ribosomal RNA", at positions 94 to 523 of the family's 1533-position model. Lineage: Bacteria; Bacillati; Bacillota; Clostridia; Eubacteriales. The record is from RNAcentral.